AUCCGUCGUGGGCGUAGGAAAUUUGAGAGGAGCUGUCCUUAGUACGAGAGGACCGGGAUGGACAUACCUCUGGUGUACCAGUUGUCGUGCCAACGGCAUAGCUGGGUAGCUAUGUGUGGACGGGAUAAGUGCUGAAAGCAUCUAAGCAUGAAGCCCCCCUCAAGAUGAGAUUUCCCAACUUCGGUUAUAAGAUCCCUCAAAGAUGAUGAGGUUAAUAGGUUCGAGGUGGAAGCAUGGUGACAUGUGGAGCUGACGAAUACUAAUCGAUCGAAGACUUAAUCAAAA
This 285-nucleotide ribosomal RNA is filed under the name Staphylococcus aureus. Its description in RNAcentral is "partial 23S ribosomal RNA". It matches the Rfam family "Bacterial large subunit ribosomal RNA", at positions 2640 to 2925 of the family's 2925-position model. The record is from RNAcentral. Lineage: Bacteria; Bacillati; Bacillota; Bacilli; Caryophanales; Staphylococcaceae.